GUUUCUACCACUGUUCAGGCUAAAAAGAAAAGCCAGUGGGGUUGUCCUCCUAAGCUUUCAGCUUUCUCUUUGUUUUUCUCCAUCCAUGAUCUUCUCUCUCUUCUUCCUGGUUCUAUAGGAGUCCAGUGAUCUGCCCUUCAUCAAGUGCUGCUCCCAGGAAGAAAGCAGUGAUUAUACUGAAGUCUGAAUGACAGAUGAGGGUCGAUCUAAGGCUUGCUGGACUUUAACUGAUGAAAUACACUGUUUGAUACAGUUGGUGCUUCUCCAUGUCCAGAUUCAGCUAAGAAGGCCAAACACAGAACACAUUGAUGCUACCUGUGGAGGACCAUCUGGAAAGAGGAGCAAUUGUCUCCGUUUUGGCUGAGCCUGACCCUAUUUCCAAGUACUGAUGUGUGCAGAGCUGGCCGGGACUUUUUCUUACCCCUUCAACUGGCUUUAAGCAAUGCAUACUGGUCUAGCCCAGGUGCUGGUGGUAAUCUUUGAAGAUGGCAGGUGUGUUUCCCCAACUCCCUAUUGCUCCCUCAAAUGAGACGGGCUUGUGAGCCAAUGCUCCAGGAUGUCAACUGGGAUCGAGCCUUGGGAUAGAAGCUAUGACUUCCUGGGGCUUCAAAUGUUACACAUUAGCUCUGAAGCACUGACCCCAAAACAUUAGAUGCUGUCUCAGUUGUGUUAGGCAGAUUACUCUUUCUGCAUAUCCUUCUCUCUGCAUUUUCAGGAGAGAUUUCAU
Molecule: long non-coding RNA, 727 nt
Filed under: Chinchilla lanigera (long-tailed chinchilla)
Lineage: Eukaryota; Metazoa; Chordata; Mammalia; Rodentia; Chinchillidae
Description: lncRNA (ENSCLAG00000023260.1)
Source: RNAcentral